GUCCUUUUAAGCCCAGCUCGGCGCCGGCCAGCCCCGUUUGCCCAGUGACAUCUCCACGGUGUGCGGGACAAAGGCGGACACGGAACAGCAGAAAUCAGAAGAGAUCAUGGCUUCCAGGUUAAAGACCUUUGCUCAACUUUCUGCUGCUCUGAGUUAAUCUUUCUCUACCCAGCCAUCGGAGUGACCAGCACAGGAUCCCAUAAAGGGAGAGGGAAAGGUGUCCACUGGAAGCAGAGGCUUGCAGCAGCUGCCCACUGCUGGGAACUCAGAAAAGAAACCAC
Long non-coding RNA from Haemorhous mexicanus (house finch), 281 nucleotides. RefSeq lists it as uncharacterized. The transcript has 3 exons. Lineage: Eukaryota; Metazoa; Chordata; Aves; Passeriformes; Fringillidae. The record is from RefSeq and is a predicted model, not a curated record.